This 254-nucleotide ribosomal RNA is filed under the name uncultured bacterium. RNAcentral's name for it is "partial 16S ribosomal RNA". It matches the Rfam family "Bacterial small subunit ribosomal RNA", at positions 524 to 776 of the family's 1533-position model. The record is from RNAcentral.
CACGUAGGGGGCAAGCGUUGUCCGGAUUUAUUGGGCGUAAAGAGCUCGUAGGUGGUUCGGUAAGUCGGGUGUGAAACCUCCAGGCCCAACCUGGAGACGCCACCCGAUACUGCUGUGACUGGAGUCCGGUAGGGGAGCGUGGAAUUCCUGGUGUAGCGGUGAAAUGCGCAGAUAUCAGGAGGAACACCAGCGGCGAAGGCGGCGCUCUGGGCCGGUACUGACGCUGAGGUGCGAAAGCGUGGGGAGCAAACAGG